CGGCUCCUCGACUUUGAAAGCGAUGCGUAUCGAUUUUCGGAUCGGUGCGUGCACGAGGAGUUUCGAGC
This 68-nucleotide ribosomal RNA is filed under the name Eretmocerus sp. WTT-2016. RNAcentral's name for it is "5.8S ribosomal RNA". Lineage: Eukaryota; Metazoa; Arthropoda; Insecta; Hymenoptera; Aphelinidae. The record is from RNAcentral.